GUAGUCCACGCCGUAAACGAUGGAUGCUAGCUGUUGGCCGUAUCGACCCGGUCAGUAGCGAAGCUAACGCGUUAAGCAUCCCGCCUGGGGAGUACGAGCGCAAGCUUAAAACUCAAAGGAAUUGACGGGGACCCGCACAAGCGGUGGAGCGUGUGGUUUAAUUCGAUGCUACGCGAAGAACCUUACCAAGACUUGACAUCCCGAGAAGGUUUAAGAAUUAGACCGUGCCGCAAGGAAUUCGGUGACAGGUGAUGCAUGGCUGUCGUCAGCUCGUGUCGUGAGAUGUUUGGUUAAG
This 295-nucleotide ribosomal RNA is filed under the name uncultured bacterium. Its description in RNAcentral is "partial 16S ribosomal RNA". It matches the Rfam family "Bacterial small subunit ribosomal RNA", at positions 790 to 1084 of the family's 1533-position model. The record is from RNAcentral.